Molecule: ribosomal RNA, 272 nt
Filed under: unidentified marine bacterioplankton
Lineage: Bacteria
Description: partial 16S ribosomal RNA
Rfam family: Bacterial small subunit ribosomal RNA
Source: RNAcentral
CAAUCCCGAGUAGAGUGGCGCACGGGUGAGUAACACGUAGAUAAUCUACCUUCAAGCCUGGAAUAACUAUUCGAAAGGAUAGCUAAUACCGGAUAAAGUUGAUUGACACAAGUUGAUUUAUGAAAGAUUGCCUCUUCUUGAAAGCAAUUGUUUGGAGACGAGUUUGCGGACCAUUAGUUUGUUGGUGGGGUAAAGGCCUACCAAGACUACGAUGGUUAGCUGGUCUGAGAGGAUGAUCAGCCACACUGGAACUGGUACACGGUCCAGACUCC